This is a non-coding RNA of Thermotoga neapolitana, 122 nucleotides long. NCBI's taxonomy places the organism in Bacteria, Thermotogati, Thermotogota, Thermotogae, Thermotogales, Thermotogaceae. The record is from Rfam.
GAUCGCUCUCGGGGCAGGGUGGAAUUCCCGACCGGCGGUGAAAGCCCGCGAGCCCCCUUCUGGGGGUUGACCCGGUGGAAUUCCGGGGCCGACGGUGAAAGUCCGGAUGGGAGAGAGCGAAG